Molecule: long non-coding RNA, 445 nt
Organism: Mesocricetus auratus (golden hamster)
Lineage: Eukaryota; Metazoa; Chordata; Mammalia; Rodentia; Cricetidae
Exons: 2
Source: RefSeq, a predicted model, not a curated record
UCCUGGCCAAGCAAGGGAUGGCAUGACACAGCAGGGAAGCUAGCUGAUCACAGAGAGAAUAGGAAGUAAGACCAGGCUAUAAACACUCAAAGCCCGCCACCAGUGAUGCCCUUCCUUCAACAAGGCUCUAUAACCUCCGCAAACAGCACCACCAGCUGAGGAACAAGUGUCCAAAUAGAGGAGCCCAUGGGGGACAUUCCUCAUCAAACCACUACAACUUGGAAUGAGCGACUAAUCACUCCACCCUGUUCUUUACCUACUGCAAAUCGGACCACCCCGCCCCCAAAGAAGCAUGCACGCUUGGUCUCCAUUGAUGUGAAUCUCUUCUGUGCCUACAGCUUGAUCCGCUGAGAUUCUUUCCUGUCCAGUAGAAUGAUCAUCCCGGAUGUAAAAAAGACGUUUCCCCAUCUCCAGGCCCUCUAAAUAGAUGACCCGAGGAUCACAA